This 256-nucleotide ribosomal RNA is filed under the name uncultured bacterium. RNAcentral's name for it is "partial 16S ribosomal RNA". It matches the Rfam family "Bacterial small subunit ribosomal RNA", at positions 526 to 779 of the family's 1533-position model. The record is from RNAcentral.
CGGAGGGGCGUAGCGUUGUUCGGAAUUAACUGGGCGUAAAGGGACGUGUAGGCGGCGGAUCAAGUCAGGCGUGAAAAGCCCCGGGCUCAACCUGGGAUGUGCGCUUGAUACUGAUUUGCUAGAGUCCGGGAGAGGCGAGUGGAAUAUCCAGUGUAGAGGUGAAAUUCGUAGAUAUUGGAUGGAACACCAGUGGCGAAGGCGGCUCGCUGGACCGGAACUGACGCUGAGGCGCGAAAGCGUGGGAGCAAACAGGAUU